This 482-nucleotide ribosomal RNA is filed under the name uncultured bacterium. Its description in RNAcentral is "partial 16S ribosomal RNA". It matches the Rfam family "Bacterial small subunit ribosomal RNA", at positions 30 to 507 of the family's 1533-position model. The record is from RNAcentral.
AUUGAACGCUGGCGGCAUGCUUUACACAUGCAAGUCGAACGGUAGCAGGCCGCAAGGUGCUGACGAGUGGCGAACGGGUGAGUAAUGCAUCGGAACGUGCCCAGUCGUGGGGGAUAACUACUCGAAAGAGUAGCUAAUACCGCAUACGAUCUAUGGAUGAAAGCGGGGGACCGUAAGGCCUCGCGCGAUUGGAGCGGCCGAUGUCAGAUUAGGUAGUUGGUGGGGGAAAGGCUCACCAAGCCAACGAUCUGUAGCGGGUCUGAGAGGACGACCAGCCACACUGGGACUGAGACACGGCCCAGACUCCUACGGGAGGCCGCAGUGGGGAAUUUUGGACAAUGGGCGCAAGCCUGAUCCAGCAAUGCCGCGUGCAGGAAGAAGGCCUUCGGGUUGUAAACUGCUUUUGUACGGAACGAAACGGCUCUGGUUAAUACCCGGGGCUAAUGACGGUACCGUAAGAAUAAGCACCGGCUAACUACGUG